This 755-nucleotide ribosomal RNA is filed under the name uncultured Oxalobacteraceae bacterium. RNAcentral's name for it is "bacterial SSU rRNA". It matches the Rfam family "Bacterial small subunit ribosomal RNA", at positions 28 to 776 of the family's 1533-position model. The record is from RNAcentral. Lineage: Bacteria; Pseudomonadati; Pseudomonadota; Betaproteobacteria; Burkholderiales; Oxalobacteraceae.
AUUGAACGCUGGCGGCAUGCCUUACACAUGCAAGUCGAACGGCAGCAUAGGAGCUUGCUCCUGAUGGCGAGUGGCGAACGGGUGAGUAAUAUAUCGGAACGUGCCCUAGAGUGGGGGAUAACUAGUCGAAAGACUAGCUAAUACCGCAUACGAUCUACGGAUGAAAGUGGGGGAUCGCAAGACCUCAUGCUCCUGGAGCGGCCGAUAUCUGAUUAGCUAGUUGGUGGGGUAAAAGCCUACCAAGGCGACGAUCAGUAGCUGGUCUGAGAGGACGACCAGCCACACUGGGACUGAGACACGGCCCAGACUCCUACGGGAGGCAGCAGUGGGGAAUUUUGGACAAUGGGGGCAACCCUGAUCCAGCAAUGCCGCGUGAGUGAAGAAGGCCUUCGGGUUGUAAAGCUCUUUUGUCAGGGAAGAAACGGUAGUAGCUAAUAUCUAUUACUGAUGACGGUACCUGAAGAAUAAGCACCGGCUAACUACGUGCCAGCAGCCGCGGUAAUACGUAGGGUGCAAGCGUUAAUCGGAAUUACUGGGCGUAAAGCGUGCGCAGGCGGUUGUGUAAGUCAGAUGUGAAAUCCCCGGGCUCAACCUGGGAAUUGCAUUUGAGACUGCACGGCUAGAGUGUGUCAGAGGGGGGUAGAAUUCCACGUGUAGCAGUGAAAUGCGUAGAUAUGUGGAGGAAUACCGAUGGCGAAGGCAGCCCCCUGGGAUAACACUGACGCUCAUGCACGAAAGCGUGGGGAGCAAACAGG